GAGAAUCUCUGCAUUUGGCCCUGCAGUUGAUUACUUUUUUUUCCGGUGACGGAGAUUAAGCGGUCCGCUGAGACCCUCGGCAAUUUUCAAGCGGUCCGUGCAAAACAAAGUUUGAGAGCCGGUGCGCUAGAGGGUUGGGACCAAAUCUGUGGGCACCUGGGCAGGUUGGAAAAAUGGGCAGACCAGAAUAGGAUGCAGUUGAACAAAGACAAGUGCAAAGUGCUGCACCUAGGGAGAAGGAAUCACCGGCACGCUUACAGGCUGCGGGAGGGCUUUCUCAGCAUCAGAGCAGCGGAAAGGGAUCUCGGAGUCAGCGUCGAUACCGAGAUGAGCGUGAGUUGUCAACGUGACAAAGCGAUUGGUAAAGCUAACUGCACUUUAUCAUGUGUUCGCAGGUGCAGGACAAACAGGUCCAGGGAGGUGAUGCUUACCCUCUACGCGACAUUGGUCGAGCUGCAGUUGGAGUACUCUGUCCGGUUUUGGACGCCACACUUCAAGAGGGAUGUGGACAACCUUGUGAGGGUUCAGAGGAGGGCAAAAGCUAGUCCUUGCGCUCCUGUCCUUGGAACCAGCUUAUCGGCGAGGAAGCGCAGCGUGACAUUCGGAACCAAAAGGCCCGGAGUAGAAGGGCCCCCGACAUCCGUCGCAUCUGCAACGGGUCCCUGCGUGAGCUACUGAGAAACGAGCGUUUGGGGUCCGCACCGGUCUCUCGGAAACAUCCGAGCCAGCCCUGGCAGCAGGUGCCUGCGCGUUCCUGCCUCGUACGCGGUCAGGGAACGCUACGCACCAGCAGUUGCCUCGGCUUCUGACCGGACGCACGCCGUUUGCUCGCAAGCAUCCAAAGCUAGCACCUCCAGCGGCUGCAGCUGUUGCUUCCCAACUACUAGGAGAGCCUUGCAAAAGCAAUGGCCUGCCCCUGGGCCAGGCUGAUACCAGUGGCUGAGACCCAGAGACUUGCUGUUGUACCUCCCGGUGUCUGGAUUAGGUGUCGAGCACUUGGAACUCUGGCAGCUUCAGCACAUAUUAACCUCUCGUCCUCCUGUGGCCAACACCACGGAGCCCGUGACCCUAAUGUUUCUGUCAGCCUCUGUCCCACCCUUCCCCUGAAGGCCUCCCGUGAAAUCCCUUGUCCCAUCACAGUCUGCAGGUUGGCUCCAGCGGUAUUUCCCAGCUGCACGUGGAGAGUUGCAAGGGAGUGUCAGCGAGGAGCUGCAGCGUGAAAGAAGUGGGACUUGGAAAUAUCCAAGGGACCACGGGUAACAGUUUGACGGGCGUCACGUAGACUCGUUUUGCUGAAACUUUGGGAACGGGACCGAACCCAUUUUCCUGUGCGCUUGGACCUGCAGAUGGCUGGGGCCCGUGUCCCUGGGGAAACUCCGAGUCUGGAAGGGAGGAACACUGCUCAUCUCUCUCCCUGCCUGCCUGGGAACGCUCCUUGCCUUGUGUUUGUUAGACUCUGCCAUUUAGACCUAUUUUAACUUGUAACAGGGUCACAAAACCAAAUGCCAGUUGCUGCUCGUAGCUGCCGUUUCCCAUCGUUCCAGAAAGCAGCUACUCGCUCUUGGUCUUGUCUGGUAUUAAAGUCUUGAGAAACAGAAUUUUAUUCCACUUUUUUUGGCCGUUCCUUGGGAUGUAAGUGUAGGCUCACAGCCUAUUCCUUGUAUGCCAGCUUACGCACGUGUCGUUCUUAAGUUAGGCUUCUGGCAGGUGUGUAGUCUGCAAUACUGAGCGUGGUCUGUCAGGCCCUGACCAUAUUUUCAGUUUACACCGAGGGGAAUCUGCCCAUAGCCUUCCUUCCCCUUUCUCAUCACCAUCUUCGUAACAUCCCUGCCUCUUUACUUGUCGCUCAUUUCAGGAGCUGUUGUGUGCCAGUGCUUCUGUUCCCUGGUGCUUUCCCCGGGUACCCACCCUGUCUCCUGUACGUGGUGGAGGACCGGUUUAAGGAGUUGCACGGAGGGCCUCACAGAAGUCCUGUGUGGUCACGGGUUUACAAUGAAGACUUGCAGCUGUGUGUUACUAUUUCUGGGGUGUGCCGUGUGUGAGGUGCAGCUGUCAGAGGAACGCUUUGGAGAUGUCGCUCACGCAGGGAAGCAAAAUUGUUCUGCUCCCCACUACUGAGCUUUAAAGGGUGAUACCUGUGAGACAUCACAUCCCCUGUCCAAACCUGAGCCAUCUGAGCAGGGGAAGUGGCAUGGGAGCGGGGGCCAAGAUACCUGGUUGACAGCCCAGACUGCAAGUUGAAGGCUGCAAUGGAAGCGCUCAGUGUGUGGCCUGUCAGAUUCCAACAAAAUCUGUCAAGUCUUACAUGUAGCUUAUCACAAGGAAACGAAAAAGAAAAGGACAUGAGCAGGGGCCCAUGUUAGAGUCUUAGUGCAUUGGUCAGCGAUUGGGGGUGAGGGGGUGCAUGUCCCUCCUUCACUGCUUGUGUGUUGACUGUCAUUGUUAAAGGACCAGGGUUGGGGGCGGGGGCAUUCUUGGCUGCUUGGCCAAGUGCCUGGGGGAAGAGCUAGGAGGGAGGGGGAGGUUCAGCAACCCCGGACUGGCCAGGUCUCCCCCUGCCUCCCACAGGGCUGCGCUACCUGCUACUGGCAGUGACUCUGCCUGGAGCAGUUGGCAGGCCCUUGUAAGCAGCCUGCACUGCUUGGGAGAUGUGGGCUGUGACACCUUGGUUUUCUGGACUGUGGUAAGAAAGCAAACAGCCUUGUAGUACAGGCUUCAGUUGUGGGACUGCACCCUGUUGUUGAGACCCCCCCCAGGGGCUUAUUUCUUGUAUGUCCAUGCAGGAUAGUUGGAGGGGUGGGGAAUGGAAGGAAGAGGCAUGGAUGAGACCUGCAUCUUCUGUUCAGCAAAUUUCUGUAAGUAAUGUUAGUACUACUAAUAUUAUCCCUGUUCUGAUUCUUACUAUUACUAUUAUUUGUUUUUCCAUAUACUUUGCCAACAAAGCACCUGGCAGGUCCAGUAAGAAAAGGAAGUUUCCAAACAGGUGACAGAAGGAAACCAAAUGAUUUAAGUAUGCAAGUGGUGGUGGUGGUGUUGGGAAGGUUCAGGAACCAUGGGGGAGGCAAGAUUUUUUGUUAUGUCUUUUGUGGCAACAACAGCACGGUUUGGACGGACAGAAGCAAGGUUUUAGGCAUCCCAGUCCCCUUUUUCAGUCCUGGUUCCUUCCCAGCAUCCUGAGGAAAGGUACUGUCAUACCCCAAAGGUUGCCUGUAUCUUACAGUUGGUCUGGUAAAACAGGGGUCAAAAAACCUAUGGCCUGUGGUUUGGAUCCAGCCUGUGAAGAAACUGGUUCUAGCCUGUAGCAGUUCAACCAAGGAGCAGCACACUCCCACGGUGACAGCAGCAGGGACAUCCCCAGCGGCCUGUUGCCACUGCGUUCAGUUUGUUCUUUGUGCUGCAGCAGAAGCAGCCUCCCCAGGGUCCCGGCCCCUGCCUCUUUCUUUUGAGUCCCUUCACAGCCUGUGGAGAUUGCCGGGGAGCAAGCUGUCACGUUGGCAACGGUGCACAACGGCAAAAGAACGGCCCUUCCCUGCAAGGAAAGAUUGCACCUAACUCCGAGCGAGCAGAGCAGAGCAGAGCAUGGACACAGAGCGAGAUGCUCAUCAGUAGGGUAGUCUGGCCUUGCCGUUGCUAGGAGUGCCCAAGUAGGGAGGUGUUGGAAUAAUUUCUCAGCUUUUUCCCUAGAUCGCUCUAAGAGGAGAGGGGAGCGCUAAGCACACUUGGGUUCGUGCACGCUCCCCAUCGUUUUCAGAAGCGGACGGCAGGAGAAAGUUUGCGGUCAGCGAUAGCAGCACAAGGCCGCGCAACCAGGCUGGGGAACGUGGGGCUCUUUCCUAAACCAGGAGUGGCAGGACUUGCACAGCUUUGCCAGGAUCCUGGCUGUUGUGGAGAGACUUUGGGUUGGAGAUGGAUGCAAAGAAGUGGAGGCGUGCCAUGGUGAUGGAGGAUAGAGCAGGAGGAGUAGCGUGAUGGAAGGUGGACUUACCUCAAGCGGGGGUGGUGUUUUGAGUGGGGGUGUCUGGGUGGGUUGGGAAGUCCCUGCUCUGGGUUGGUGUCCUGAGCUGCACGCUCCCAGGGCAGGGCUACUCAAGCGGAGGGCCAUGGCAUCCAGGAGUGCCUCUGAGAUGAGUGGUGUAUGGCUGGGCUGGCUUGGCCCAGAGUUGCUCUGAGUCUGUGCAAAGAUCUCCAGGUUGCGGUGGGACAGAGGAUUGGGUCUCUGCCUGGCUGUACCUGUUGCCACAUGCCUCCUUUCAGUGCUGGGAAUUGCAUUUAUGUCUCAUCUCUCUGGGUGUGUCACUGGUGUCUGUCUUUGUACUUCUGUUCUUAAAAAUCACUGCAGCACUUGUUACUUUGUUCUUCCCAGGACUGAAAGGAGGGUUGUGUUUGCAUGUAAAUUGAUCCCCUCACUUGGGAGGGGUGUAGCUGCAGCCCCCUGCGGUUUGUUAGUGGGGCCAGUCCAAGCUGCUGUUGUACCCCUGGUUGGGAGGGAGGGGAUGCUGUCCCGUUGGUGGUGUGAGACCUGCGCAUAGCGCUGCAAGUGUUAAUUUCUGUUGUUCAUUUUUGGCGGUGUGGACAUGUUUGGCAAGAUGACCAAAGUCUGGUCCUGAGUGGAGAAGAGCUGAGGAAGAGGUGAAGAGCCCUGGAGCUGGUAUGGCGUGGAAGGAGUUGGAGACGGCCUGAAGCCAUGCUCACGUGAUCACCUGGAGCGAGGUAUUUGCUUCUUGUGGGUUGCAGCUCUGGAUGGAGAGAUCCUGCAGUUGCAGGUGCCUGCAUCGUAUCUGGGAAUGGGAUAGCAAGCAUGAGGACUGAUGGCGCACAAGGACUGAAGGCGUAGCAUGAUGCCAGGUGUGGAGCCAUCUUCUGAAGGCUUGAGGGCUGUGGAGCAGACUCUGUGAAGAUGAAGUGAAGAGUCCCAGAGAUGGUGCAGGAGGAAACGGGCAGCCCUGUUGUGACUUCCUGAUUUGCGUGGUGUGAGGCCUCUUCCCCUGUGGCAUCACCUGGCUGGAGUCUGGGGUGGGUCUGAGCUGUCUUGCAACAGUGUGAUGCGUUUGUCUUCCUGCCUGACCACUUCUUCCACACUUGUUCUUUCAUGUUUCUUGGAGGUUUUGUGUGUAGCUUUGCAGGCGGUGCGUCUCCGCUCCCACUUCUUGCUGUGAGGAUGCCUGGAUAAGCAGCAGCAUGAUUGUGGCUGGGUGGCCUCAAUGUUGUGGGGGAGAGGAACAGAAGCGAGGCUUCUGCGGUGGUGGUAGAAGAUGGAGGAACUGGAUCCCGAAAGGUGGGCUGGGUUAAAGUGGGAGGCUGGGUUGCGUUUUCCCUGGUCGUGUUUGGGUGGGGAAGGAAACGCCUUGUGCGUAAUGGGGUCUGGAGCUCCGUGCUGUCUGGGAAGUGAUGCUGAAGCAGGGACUUGUGGCCCUUAGGGAUGCUGCAGAGCAGGGGGUGUAAGCCUGAAUUGGGUUUAGUUUGGUGGUGAGACCUGACUCCUUGUAAAGGCUGGAAAUUGUCCUUGAGUAUAUUAGGGGUUUCAGUGUUUGCCCCUGGCUUCUGGGUGCAGGUGACAGCAUUGGAUGUGCUGGGACAGAGGAGCGGGUGCGUGCGUGUCCGCCUCUGCCUGGCUGUUGCUGCUGCCAGUGGUCUUCCUUCAGUUCUGGGAAUUGCACUCUGUCCUAUGUCUCUGGGUGUGUCACUGGUGUUUCUUUCUACUUUGAUAUCUAAAAUCACAGCAGCACUUCUUCUUUCUUUCUUUGCUCUUCCCAGAGCUGGAAGGAUAGGUGUGUUUGCAACUGAAUUGAUCCCCUCAUUUGGGUGGGCUUUGACUGCACCCUGUGUGCCUCGCGUGCGAGUGGGGGUGUUAUGCUUUCGGUGUCCUAGGCUGCUGGGGGUGGGGGGCGUUGUCUCUGCUGUCAGUACUAUGAGACGUGAAUACUGUUGCGUGUAGUAAUUGCUUGUUGUUUUGGGUGUGAUGUUAAUAUGUCGAGCGUGAGUGGAGAAGAGCUGAGGCGAAGAGACCUAGAGCCAGCGCUAGGUAGAAGCGGGUGGAGGAAGCAGGUGGUUGUGCAGCCAUGCUCGCUUCUGGGUCACCUGGAGGGAGGCCUCUGCCUGUUCGGUGGACCUGUGUGCAUGAGCAGAGCCUGCAGAGGUCCCUGCUUCCCCUGUGUGGAGAGGAUGGCAAGGAGGGAGGAGAGUGCGCCGGAGGAAGAGGAGCGCGAUGCUAGGUCCCAUGAGUGCUGUCUCUUGGGGUGAGGCCCUUCUCACAGAUGGAUGGGUGCACCCUGGGCAGGCACGUCUUGGAGAGCUGGUCCUGACCUGUGCAGAGGGAAAUGACUGCCGGUUGAAGGAGUGAAGCUGAGCAGCGCCCACGGAGGGUGAAGCAGGAGGAACUCGAUGCCGCACGGCGUGUCGGUGCCGGAUGGGCAGUUCUGGCAAUUGGUUUCUGUUUUUCUCCAGCCCAGUCCUGGGUGUUGGGCAUUGACUAGGUAGGGUAGACGGCUGGAGAUCGAUCUGGAUGUUUCUGACUGGGUCCUGGUCCUUGGAGAGAAGUUUGAGCAGAGAAGGGUGGAAGAUGGAGGCAGAGAGGAUGGUGCAAGCAGGGGGUCUUUUUACCAAGACUUUUGGGGCAGGGAGGAGAAGUGGAGAUUGGGCAGAAGAAGAGAAGACAUCUUGAAGUCAUGAACCAUGGAGCUGCCUGUCAUUGGUGCAUGGAACAUGUGAUGGGUGCUUGUGCUGUAGCUCUGUCGUGAGGAGCAGGGCAGGGGCAGUGACAUGCUGAGGGCUGGAGAAGGAGCACCACAAAGAUGGCUGUGAGGCCUUGGUCAGGCGUGAAGUAUGUGAGCCAGGAGAGUCGUACAGCACACACGCAGGAUGGAGGGCAACAAGUCGAGCGGGGGGCUUCUUUGGCCAGGGCUGCUGUGAAAUCUGGCGUAGGGCUGGGCCGGCCGGUCCGAGUCUGUCGGACUCCACGUAUAGGAGAAACGACGGAUGUCUAAGGAGCUUGUGGGGCGUUUGAUCCGGGCUCAUCCCUGGCACUUGGGGUGCAGGCCUGGCCCCUCUCUGGGGUGUGUUGAGGUCAUCUGGCUGAGGCUCGAGGCUCCUAAGUGGGCAUCGGGAAGAAGAGGUGGAGAUAUAGCGCCUGUGACCUGAGGAAGCUGGUGAAAGAAACGGAUGUCGGCGCAUUCGCUUUGCGGUUGCCCGGUGUGAGACUUCUGCCCGUGCGGUGGCCCUGGGCUGGAAGCCUUGCUGCGUGAAGCCUGCGAUAGAUGUUGGAUUGCUGCUCCCUGUGUGGUGAGAAGGAUUGGCUGCAAUGACUGGAGGCCUGGAAAAGGAGCCGUGUGGCCAGGGUCCUGGCCUGCAUGGAGGGAAGUAGGUGAGAGGACUGCAUCGUGGAAGAGCCGUGGGACAGUGUUGGAUGACAGACACGGACCGGCCGGAUGUUGCCCGCUACGUUGGAAUGUCCCUUCUGUAUUGGGAUUCUGCCUUUGGGGUGUGGGGUGGGUUUGGGAGUGUCCUCAGCUUUAUGAUCCUGGAGCCAGGGGUUUGCAAGUAGUAUGUUUGGGUCAGUUUGUCUGUGCUGUGGGUGGACCUAGGGUGACCAGAGGUGAAAUCCAUUCCUGUGACCCUGUAGUUGGACGAGCACCCAGACACUUGCAGGAACCGCUGGGCAAGCAGGCCCAGAGCUUUCAACUGUUGAGCACGGCAAUGCUGGAGCCAGCUAGCAUGGAAGCAGAAGGGCCGGCCGGGCGCGGGGCCUGGGCUGCCUCUGUGGCUUCUGUGCUAGUGAGGUUGAGAAUUGCAGUGCUGGGGGGUUGGAGGUUUUGGACCUGCUUGUGCAGGGUUCUUGUUGGUGUUGGGGUGCUGGUUCUGCUGGGUCAGAGCAAUGGGUUUUAUUCUGCCUGACUGCCAUGUUUACCGUGUCCUACAGGGCUGGGAGCCUGUCGUAGCAGCGUGUGUUUGGCUGGGGCGGGGUGGUUGUCUGGUUUGGUCCCUGAGCAGUGUGGUGAGCAUGUUUGUUAUUACCCUGAAAUAAAAUAGUUUUCUGAUAGCCUACUGUUAGGCUAACAAUAAUUUAGAUUAUUAAGAAGUAUUAGCUUUGCAGUUGAAUACAAGGCAUGACCUGUGGCCUAGCAAUGCCGCUGACCACAAGGCAGAAUGAUAGCUAAGCCUUUGCUUAUGUUAAGUAAUCAUUUUAACUGUGUUGACUAUUUUCUGAGUAAAAUGCAGCAAGUGAAUCUGUCUGUGUGCUGUAAACCAGAUACAGCAAGGAACAAGGAGUCUCUCUAGUGUUUACACAGGUCAGCUGCUUUGGUUCAGCGGGUACCCCUGGACUGUAACCUUCACUCCUAUCAAUCAGGACGCUGAGUUUGGGUAAAACAACAUCGGCGAAAAACCGCCUCGGCCCAAGUCUGGGCAGGCCCGUACCAAGUUCUUCUUACUAUACACGCUGCUGUGAAAAUCGCCGAGAAAGAGGGCCGGAUUCAUCGCGGUCGCCUCAAACCUGGUAUCGGCAAGUAAUGACCGGUCAGCUGAUGUUCCGCCUCUAUGGCUAGAAAGAAUCGGAGAAUCGUGGACCGUUCAGACUCCUUAAUAGAAAUGAUACGUGUAUUAAGCUUGCUUUGUAUUAUCUUUCUUGUUAUACUUUGUGUUUGUAUUUCACUGUGGAUGCAGGGAAGGUUGUAAGUUAAUAAUGGCAUUUCACCGGGCUAUCCUAACAGGAUUAUUGCUCUUGAUGCAUAAAACACCAUGGCUAUUUAUGGGAAAGCGAUACAGAACAGGAAGACCAGUGGAAAGAUAAUACUUACCUGAUUUCCACUAUAGCUAUAGCACAGGCCCUAAAAUUUGUGUAAUGGUUGGAUAUGUGGUACACAGUCUCCUUCUACUAACUUUCCACCCUAUCCUUUAAUCUCUUGGGAAGGGAUUUUUUCUAAUCCAGAGUGGGUUGAUACGGAUAGAGCUGGAAUAAGUACCUGGCAGGACAAUUCUUAUUUUAAAGAGAGAGUACUUUCAGACAUCAUGUUAUCUGCCCAGGUGUGUUGGGAAAAUCCUCGUGGAAUAGGAAAAGAGAUUUUUAGGAUGGCAACCAGGUUGUAAACUAACCAUUAAUGCCACACACUUAAUUUGGCCUAACAAUACUGCAGUGGGGACUAAAGAAGCUGAAAAGAAAGGUUACAUCCCCUGGAAUGCGUCUGCUCCCUGCAGUUCCUUGCAGCGUCCUUAUGUAUGGCAAUGUAUGGAAGGUUCCAUCCGAUGCUCCGCCCCUUAUAAAACUUGGGCUUGGAGUCACGGCUGUUUCACGUCUUGCAUAUACAGCUCCUUUGCAAAGCCAAGUUGUUCGUAUGUUAACUAUACCAUUUACAGAGACGGUUCAGUACCUUGCCCCAGAGAUCGUCAUACUACCGCAUCAAUCAACUGGCACGUGCAUUAGAACUUAUUGCCAAUAGCACAGCAGAGGGCAUUGAAUUAGUGCAAGACCAGGCUUCUUGCAACCAUGCUAUGACUUUAGAAAAUCGCUUCGCUUUAGACUAUUUGUUAGCUAGAGAAGGAGGGGUAUGUGCUUUAAUCACAGGAGGACCCUGCUGCACCUAUAUUCCUGACCACUCUGACAACAUAACUGCUGCAGUAAAAACAAUUCGAGACACAGCACGACAGGUAAACUCUUUGCGAAGUUGGUCAGUAAUAGAACGGAUUGCCUCAACUUUAGGAAUGUGGGGAAGGUAUAUCUUAGAAUACAUUUUAUGGGGAUUAGGAAUCUUCUUGGUUAUUAUUGUAAUAAUUGCUGUAAUUACAGCCUGUGUAGUUUGAGUUAAGCAAAAAGUAAUUAAUCUCAAUAUUAUGCAAACCUGGGAAAUGGCUAGCAGGCCAUAGGCCUGUGGCUGUAAGGGGGGAUUGUUAGAAACUAUUGUUGGAAAAUCAGUGUGACCUUUGUAUCACCUUUGGGCAAUGCUAGCUGAUGCAACCUUGCAGUAAGAUUGCCAUGAUCUGUCAAUAUAGGCGGGCAAACAAGGUGAUUGGGCCCAACCAUGCGGGGUGAGCAAAGCCAAGCCAUCUUCGUGAUUUCCUCUGAGUUUUGCACAUGUGUUAUGAAGGAGCUUAUGUAACGAGAGUUUAUAAAGCUACAUGUUGAGUUGCAGUUGGGGUCUCUGUUCCCUUAUGCGGACAGGGGACCUUCGGCCCAAUAAACUGAAAAGACCACACCCUUGUCUGCUGCUUAUUGGAGUCUCAGCUGGGAAACGAGCCCUGUUUGGGUUAAGAGAGUCUGCAGGUGUUCCCUUACCAGCUUGGGAGUCUGGUCAGGCAAUUUCUCUCACAAUUAAUUUGUAGCUUUUAGAAAGUGCUAGUUCAGCGUAAUAGAAAUAUGCUGUUAUGAAGAUUCGUAAAGCACCGCCCAAGUAUUGCUUUUGGUUAACCCUUGUAGUGCGCAAGUUUGUUAUUACCCUGAAAUAGAAUAGUUUUCUGAUAGCAUACUGUUAGGUUAACAAUAAUUUGGAUUAUUAAGAAGUAUUAGCUUAACAUCUGAAUACAAGGCAUGACCUGUGGCCUAGCAAUGCAGCUGACCACAAGGCAGAAUGAUAGGUAGGCCUUUGCUUAUGUCAAGUAAUCAUUUUAACUACACCAAGCAUUUUCUGAGUUAAAAAGUGAAUCUGUGUCUGUGUGCUAAAAAAAAUCAGCUACAGCAAAAAGUAAGAUAAAACAGAGAAACCAUUGUUUGAGCUUACUGGUUGUGUCCUUGAAAAAUAUCUUCUACUGUAUAAGGUUUUGCUAACAUAAUGUUACUGUUACUUAACUUUUAGCUUUAAAAAGUGCUAGUUCAGCUUAAUAAAAAUAUGCUGUUACAAAGAUUUAUAGAA
This is a long non-coding RNA of Alligator mississippiensis (American alligator), 10838 nucleotides long. RefSeq lists it as uncharacterized. The record is from RefSeq and is a predicted model, not a curated record. Lineage: Eukaryota; Metazoa; Chordata; Crocodylia; Alligatoridae. The transcript has 20 exons.